UGGCGGACGGGGGAGUAAUGUCUGGGAAACUGCCCGAUGAGGGGGAGUAACUACUGGAAACGGUAGCUAAUACCGCAUAACGUCGCAAGACCAAAGAGGGGGACCUUCGGGCCUCUUGCCAUCGGAUGUGCCCAGAUGGGAUUAGCUAGUAGGUGGGGUAAAGGCUCACCUAGGCGACGAUCCCUAGCUGGUCUGAGAGGAUGACCAGCCACACUGGAACUGAGACACGGUCCAG
Molecule: ribosomal RNA, 235 nt
Filed under: uncultured bacterium
Lineage: Bacteria
Description: partial 16S ribosomal RNA
Rfam family: Bacterial small subunit ribosomal RNA
Source: RNAcentral